GCGCGUAGGUCGGUUUUUAAGUUCAGAUGGUGUAAUCCCCGAAGGCUUAACUUGGGAACUGCAUCUGAGACUGGAAGGCUAGAGUACUGGAGAGGGUGGUGGAAUUCCUCGUGUAGCGGUGAAAUGCGUAGAGAUGAGGAGGAACACCAGUGGCGAAGGCGGCCACCUGGACAGUAACUGACGCUGAGGCGCGAAAGUGUGGGUAGCAAACAGGAUUAGAUACCCUGGUAGUCCACGCUGUAAACGAUGAACACUUGGUGUGGAGGGAGUUGACCCCUUCCGUGCCGGAGCUAACGCGUUAAGUGUUCCGCCUGGGGAGUACGGUCGCAAGGCUGAA
RNAcentral lists this ribosomal RNA (337 nucleotides) under uncultured bacterium. RNAcentral's name for it is "bacterial SSU rRNA". It matches the Rfam family "Bacterial small subunit ribosomal RNA", at positions 567 to 898 of the family's 1533-position model. The record is from RNAcentral.